Molecule: transfer RNA, 74 nt
Filed under: Caudoviricetes sp.
Lineage: Duplodnaviria; Heunggongvirae; Uroviricota; Caudoviricetes
Description: tRNA-Arg
Rfam family: tRNA
About the family: Transfer RNA (tRNA) molecules are approximately 80 nucleotides in length. Their secondary structure includes four short double-helical elements and three loops (D, anti-codon, and T loops). Further hydrogen bonds mediate the characteristic L-shaped molecular structure. tRNAs have two regions of fundamental functional importance: the anti-codon, which is responsible for specific mRNA codon recognition, and the 3' end, to which the tRNAs corresponding amino acid is attached (by aminoacyl-tRNA synthetases). tRNAs cope with the degeneracy of the genetic code in two manners: having more than one tRNA (with a specific anti-codon) for a particular amino acid; and 'wobble' base-pairing, i.e. permitting non-standard base-pairing at the 3rd anti-codon position.
Source: RNAcentral
GCGGCUGUAAUUCAGUUGGAUAGAAUAUCGGACUUCUAAUCCGAAAGCCAAGAGUUCAAGUCUCUUCAGCCGUA